RNAcentral lists this long non-coding RNA (290 nucleotides) under Theobroma cacao (cacao). RNAcentral's name for it is "long non-coding RNA (TCAC_LNC002137)". The record is from RNAcentral. Lineage: Eukaryota; Viridiplantae; Streptophyta; Magnoliopsida; Malvales; Malvaceae.
GAGUUAAAGGCCGACGCCGAUGACAUUAUUCAGAGACCGUUUUUCAAAUCCGAUUUUCUUUGAAUGGUAAUUCCUUGAUUGUUAGUUUUCGAUAAAAUUAAUAUUUCGGACUGAAAGUUUAUCUCCUUUUUCAGAUUUACAUCCGUUUUUUCAGAUUUACAUCCGUUAAACGGAUCCAGAGAGAUUUGAAAAGAGAUCUGAAAAUCUACGGAUUUUGAAAGAUUUUUAUAAUGGUUUCUCGAGAAAAAAGUGUUGAGAUUUUUCUGAUUAGAAUUUCAAAUCCAGUUUAA